UACUGCUGGUCAGGGGUCUGGAGUACAACAAGGCGACAAUAACUCUGGAAUUCAAGUUAUCAGCAGUGAUGAAGAAGAUGAUGGAGACCUGGAGAGACCAACGUUUCGGAUAACAAUAGAUGACUACAGAGGUAAGUAGAAAAUUUUACAACAUGCAUGCUAAAUAUAGCUAGUCUUGUGUGUAUUUGUAUGAAGG
This is a long non-coding RNA of Actinia tenebrosa (Australian red waratah sea anemone), 196 nucleotides long. NCBI's taxonomy places the organism in Eukaryota, Metazoa, Cnidaria, Anthozoa, Actiniaria, Actiniidae. The record is from RefSeq and is a predicted model, not a curated record.